GCCUUCUUAGUUCAGUGGCUAGAAUUUUUCACUAGUAGUGUCCUCCUCAUCGGAGAGCUUGCUAUGAAAGGGUCACCCGUUCAAUUCGGGUAGAAGGCA
Apiotrichum porosum is the source of this 99-nucleotide non-coding RNA. NCBI's taxonomy places the organism in Eukaryota, Fungi, Basidiomycota, Tremellomycetes, Trichosporonales, Trichosporonaceae. The record is from the annotation of a RefSeq genome assembly.